CAAUAGCGUAUAUUAAAGUUGUUGCGGUUAAAAAGCUCGUAGUUGGAUUUCUGCUGAGAACGACCGGUCCGCCCUUUGGGUGUGUAUCUGGCUCUUUCUUGGCAUCUUCUUGGUGAACGUUGCUGCACUUGACUGUGUGGAGCGCUACCCAGGACUUUUACUUUGAGGAAAUUAGAGUGUUUCAAGCAGGCAUACGCCUUGAAUACAUUAGCAUGGAAUAAUAAGAUAGGACCUCGGUUCUAUUUUGUUGGUUUCUAGAGCUGAGGUAAUGAUUAAUAGGGAUAGUUGGGGGCAUUCGUAUUUAACUGUCAGAGGUGAAAUUCUUGGAUUUAUGGAAGACGAACUACUGCGAAAGCAUUUACCAAGGAUGUUUUCAUUAA
RNAcentral lists this ribosomal RNA (380 nucleotides) under uncultured eukaryote. RNAcentral describes it as "partial 18S ribosomal RNA". It matches the Rfam family "Eukaryotic small subunit ribosomal RNA", at positions 592 to 976 of the family's 1831-position model. The record is from RNAcentral.